AAAAACCAAAAGAGAUAAAAAAAAAAAAAAAAAAAAAGGAAAAUAGAAAAAGGGCUCUUUUCACGCGUGCUAAGGGAGCAUCCUACGGUCACCAUCAUGGCCGCAUUAAACGGAAACCAUUGAGAAUUGUUUCAUCGGACGGCUCACACUAACCGUGUUUGACUCUCUUCUGUCCUCACGCGUGCUCCCUUCCCUCUCUCUCUCUCUCUCUCUCUCUCUCUCUCUCCAUUACGCCAUUAUUUUUAUUUUUUAAUUUCUUUUAUCACAAUACUAAUCUCUUGUAUUGUUUACCAACUUAUUGCAUGCUUUAUAAUUCCAAAAAAAAAACCCCAUUGACAUAGUGAUUUACAU
Molecule: long non-coding RNA, 351 nt
Filed under: Capsella rubella
Lineage: Eukaryota; Viridiplantae; Streptophyta; Magnoliopsida; Brassicales; Brassicaceae
Description: long non-coding RNA (CRUB_LNC004828)
Source: RNAcentral